RNAcentral lists this long non-coding RNA (229 nucleotides) under Sorghum bicolor (sorghum). RNAcentral's name for it is "long non-coding RNA (SBIC_LNC007263)". Lineage: Eukaryota; Viridiplantae; Streptophyta; Magnoliopsida; Poales; Poaceae. The record is from RNAcentral.
UGUUUUUGAAUAUUUUGGGGGGUGCAUUUGCACCCCCUGAGUCCAACGCAGCUUCGCCCCUGGUACUAAGUAAGGAUCAAGAAGUUUUAGUGUAAUCAUUUUCCAUGUGGGUCAAGAAGUUCUUUUUUGGUGGGGUCGUAGACUGGUAGAAAAAUCAUAGAGUACGUGAUGUGGCCGCCGAGUCGUCAAGGUCGGCCGACCCCGAUGCCAUAACGUAGCUUCACCUCUG